This is a long non-coding RNA of Oncorhynchus gorbuscha (pink salmon), 462 nucleotides long. RefSeq lists it as uncharacterized. The record is from RefSeq and is a predicted model, not a curated record. NCBI's taxonomy places the organism in Eukaryota, Metazoa, Chordata, Actinopteri, Salmoniformes, Salmonidae. The transcript has 3 exons.
GAGAGACUUGAUAGGAUGCGUCUCCAUUUCCGUAUAAUUUAUCUUAGCAGGAUGCGCAGACCAUAUGCAAGCCCGCGUUCCGGUCAACAGGCCGCUGAACACGGGGAGAUAAGACCCACAUUACAAUAUAUCCGUUAUAGACUGGAUGGUUGCCAAUGCUGCUGUUCCCCGUAACAUUCUUAUGUAGCCACGAGUGACGAAUAAUUCACCCUAUCCUGUUGUAGUCAGAUCUACAAUUCUACCGCUUCAGGAUUCAGAGAGCCCUAUCAUUGGUGCAACUCCCGAUGUUCAGACCGAGCCAAUGACUCGGCUCCCAGAUGCACCACCACAGUGACAAUGAGGGGAAGAGAGGCAGAGACCAUGGCAGAAAAACAAAGUCAUAGACAGAGCAAUAAUUCUCAGCCGAGCCAAAAUUGUAGAACUGUAAAUUGCAUAGUUUUACCACGACUAAAAUAAAACUGG